AAACAAGGAAGAGAAACACAGGUUUCUCUUCAGCGAAACAGAAAGCUACCUACCAAGUUAACACCGAGGUGUUACAGAGAUGUGGAUUUAAGUUUAGGCAGGUCAAGUGGUAGGCCUAUUCAUUCUCACCUCGCCUGGAAUUUAAAUCAUGUCCUACAGUGACGCAGUAAGGGCCCACAUACCUCGUCAGGAUGCAGUAAUACGAGCUCCAGCAUUGAGCCAACAGCAGGCCCAGUUGAGAAGCCAGCUGCGGAGCGUGUUGCGGAGGCAUCCAGAGGGCGUGCUGCUGACCCAGCUGCGGAGGAGCUGUCCACUCCUGUUCCAGCCAGCGGUGUUGGGCCCAUACUCCUCAACCACAGAGCUGCUCCGCUCCAUGACUGAUGUGCUCUACAUGGAGGGCAUAGGGGUCCAGACGCGCGUCUUUGCACAUGUGUCUUUCCUGUUCCCUGGACUUUGUGCCCAAAAUAUUGCAUUCAUUAGCUAAAACUAUGAGUAGCCUCCUACUGCAAUGUUACUACAGGAAAACUGCAGUUUUAUGAUGAUGUAUAUGUUUUUUCACACCAGCAGUCUGAAUCAAAAAGGUCAUAUAAAACAGACCAAAACAGAAAGGCCUGUGUGGUCAGAUAAGAAGCCUUAACCUAUGUAUUUAUUGACCAAAUGGGCACAGCCACAAGGGAAUAAUAUUAGCAGUAAGCUUGUACACCAAAGUGCUGAAACGUUUUAAAAAACAGAUAUGUUCCAAAGAAUAAUGAAGGUUCCUGCCACUUUGUAACUUGCCACUUUAUACGUAUGGUUGUGGCAUCAAAAACAUUCCUUUUUUUUAAAGAAGGCAAUCAUCAUCAAUAUACUAGGGAUAGUCUGCCAUUCCUCUUUUUUGUUGUUUAAGUCUUAGAAUGAUAUCAUAUAAGCUGUAUGUGAGCCUUAGAAGAUUCCUGUCUAGUUUCUAUACAUGUGCAAUCAAAGCAGAAGUUCUUAUAAACAUUAUAUAACAUUUUUAGAACAUUUGAUAUGCUGUAACAUUGUCAUAAAUAGCUGAAAGGGUUUUACAGAUUUCCUACCUUUUAAAUAUUACUGUAGAUUCGAUUUAGACAUAGAUUUUAUGAUGAAAAGAAUGAUUUAAUAUAAAGGUGCUCCUUUUAGACAUGGAGACCAGAAUUAAAUGACUGUUGAGAACAAAUGUAGACAUACUCAGGAAUGUGAUGUUAUGAAGACUUAAUUAAAUGUGUUCCAAAUCAUUGUGCAUUUUGGAAUGGUAUGUAAUACGAUGAAGAAUAAAUUGAUGUUGUGAUUUUGUUAAGAUUCUCAUUUGAUUGUAUAUAACCAUAUUACAGAGUAACACUUCCUCAUGCUUUCAGCUAUUAUUGACCAUAUUACAUGAAGUUGUGAGGGUCCUGCCAGUAUGGACUAGCACUAUGAAGUGCCCAACGGCCAUGUAUUGUAGCAGCUUUUAUACAUGCCAUCAUUACAUGUUCAUGGCAUCAGUUCAAGUUACUGUAAGUCUAAAGCAAAGCUUAUCCUACACUCACUGGUCACUUUAUUAGGCACACCUUUCUUUUUUGUUGUUGGUAUUUUUGACUUUUAUUAGGACAGUUAAGGUGGUGACAGGAAGCUAGUGGGGAGAGAAAGACGGGGAAGGGCCGGCAAAGGACCCGGGCCGGGAACUGAACCCGAGUCAGCCGCAACGGCAGACGAGCGCCCCACCGCUUGGCCGUGGCAGGGCCUACGCACACCUUUCUAACUGCUUAUUGACGCAAAAUUCUAAUCAGCCAAUCGCAUGGCGGCAGAUCAAUGCAUUCAGGCAUGUAGACAUAUUCAAGAUGAUCUGCCGCAGUUCAAAGUGAGCAUCAGAACGGGGAAGAAAGGUGACUUAGGUGACUUUGAAUAUGCCAUGGUUGUUGGUGCCAUAUGGGAUUGGUUGGAGUAUCUCAGAAACUACUGAAGUACAGGGAUAUUCACAUAGCCUAAAAUCAUCUCUAGGAACGGUCCGAAAAAGGCAAGAUACCCAGUGAGCGGCAGUUCUGUGGGCGAAAAUACCUUGUUGAUGCCAGAGGUCAGAGGAGAAUGGCCAGACUGGUUCGAGCUGACACAAAGACAACAGUUACUGAAAAAAAAACACACUAAGGUAUACCUACCGGUAAUAAAGUGGUCAGUAAGUGUAUAAAACAAUGGCAGAAGUCUAUCCCAGACAGCCAUUGUCUAAAUAACGAUCAUACUUGCCAUUUGGUCUUGCCAUUCAUUCCGAAAUAAUAACAAAUGCAUACGUUUAUGACAGUCUGCAGCAUAAGUGUGAUGGACUACACUCUCCAACUUUCACAGACAUCAAAAGUAUGAGGGGGCUCUCUCGACUUAUCUGAUCAUAAUGU
Molecule: long non-coding RNA, 2363 nt
Organism: Engraulis encrasicolus (European anchovy)
Lineage: Eukaryota; Metazoa; Chordata; Actinopteri; Clupeiformes; Engraulidae
Exons: 3
Source: RefSeq, a predicted model, not a curated record